Molecule: ribosomal RNA, 253 nt
Filed under: uncultured bacterium
Lineage: Bacteria
Description: partial 16S ribosomal RNA
Rfam family: Bacterial small subunit ribosomal RNA
Source: RNAcentral
UACGAAGGGGGCUAGCGUUGCUCGGAAUUACUGGGCGUAAAGCGCACGUAGGCGGUCUUUUAAGUCGGUGGUGAAAUCCUGGAGCUCAACUCCAGAACUGCCUUCGAUACUGGAGAGCUUGAGUCCGGGAGAGGUGAGUGGAACUGCGAGUGUAGAGGUGAAAUUCGUAGAUAUUCGCAAGAACACCAGUGGCGAAGGCGGCUCACUGGCCCGGUACUGACGCUGAGGUGCGAAAGCGUGGGGAGCAAACAGG